GACGAACGCUGGCGGUGUGCUUAACACAUGCAAGUCGAACGGUAAGGCCCUUUCGGGGGUACACGAGUGGCGAACGGGUGAGUAACACGUGAGUAACCUGCCCUCAUCUCUGGGAUAACAGUCGGAAACGGUUGCUAAUACUGGAUAUGAGCUUGCAAGGCAUCUUGUGGGUUGGAAAGAUUUUUUUUGGUUGGGGAUGGACUCGCGGCCUAUCAGCUUGUUGGUGAGGUAGUGGCUCACCAAGGCUUCGACGGGUAGCCGGCCUGAGAGGGCGACCGGCCACAUUGGGACUGAGAUACGGCCCAAACUCCUACGGGAGGCAGCAGUGGGGAAUAUUGCACAAUGGACGGAAGUCUGAUGCAGCAACGCCGCGUGCGGGAUGACGGCCUUCGGGUUGUAAACCGCUUUCAAUUGUGACGAAGCUUUUUUGUGACGGUAGCAGUAGAAGAGGCACCGGCUAACUACGUG
This 468-nucleotide ribosomal RNA is filed under the name uncultured bacterium. Its description in RNAcentral is "partial 16S ribosomal RNA". It matches the Rfam family "Bacterial small subunit ribosomal RNA", at positions 28 to 507 of the family's 1533-position model. The record is from RNAcentral.